Molecule: unclassified non-coding RNA, 226 nt
Filed under: plant metagenome
Description: partial contains small subunit ribosomal RNA and internal transcribed spacer 1
Rfam family: Eukaryotic small subunit ribosomal RNA (bases 1-45)
Source: RNAcentral
AAGUCGUAACAAGGUUUCCGUAGGUGAACCUGCGGAAGGUCAUUACAAGUGAGGCUACCGAACGCUGGAAACAGCGGUUAGGAGCUUACACCCACCCCGUGUUUUACAUACUAUUUGUUGCUUUGGGCGGGCCCGUGGCCUCCACUGCGGGCUCUGUCGUGUGUGCCCGCCAGAGGACCAAAACUCUGAAUGUUAGUGAUGUCAAGUACUAUCUAAUAGUUAAAAA